ACACGCAUGACACACUGCAUAUCAAUAAGCGGAGGAAAAGAAACUAACAAGGAUUCCCUUAGUAACGGCGAGUGAAGCGGGAAGAGCUCAAAUUUGAAAUCUUCAAGGUUUUACCUUGACGAAUUGUAGUUUAAAGAAGUGUUUUCUGUUAGUAGAGUUGGCUAAAAGUUCUUUGGAAUAGGACAUCAUAGAGGGUGAGAAUCCCGUAUUUGAUCCAUUCUUUCCUAGCUUUGUGAUACACUUUCAACGAGUCGGAUUGUUUGGGAAUGCAGUCCAAAAUGGGUGGUAAAUUUCAUCUAAAGCUAAAUAUUGGCGAGAGGACCGAUAGCGAACAAGUACCGUGAGGGAAAGAUGAAAAGAACUUUGAAAAGAGAGUUAAACAGUACGUGAAAUUGUCAAAAGGGAAGCGUUUGACACCAGUGUUGUUUUUCCGAAAAUCAAUUACGAAUGUUUUAUUUUUGAGGAGUUAUGACUUCAUCGGCUUGCUUCUCUCUUUAUGAAACUUUCUUAAUGCACUUUUCGGUUAACAAGUCAACAUCAAUUUCUUUUGUUGUAAAAGGGUAUGAGGAAGGUGGCUUUCUUUUCGGAGAAAGUGUUUAUAGCCUUGUAGCCUCUGCAAUCGGAGAGAUUGAGGUCUGCAGCGUAGAUCCUUCGGGGUUAGAUACGUUUGUGCUAAGUUAUAGCUUUUCAUAGACAACUUGUUGACUAUGUUUAGUCUUGUAGCUUACUCGCUUAUGCUAUUUUACCUACGCUUAGGAUGUUGAGUCGUAGAGCACGCAG
Molecule: ribosomal RNA, 780 nt
Filed under: uncultured Neocallimastigales
Lineage: Eukaryota; Fungi; Neocallimastigomycota; Neocallimastigomycetes; Neocallimastigales
Description: partial large subunit ribosomal RNA
Rfam family: Eukaryotic large subunit ribosomal RNA
Source: RNAcentral